CACGACUACAUUAGAUACCCGCGUAGUCCCAGCCCUAAACGAUGCGCGUUAGGUGUAUCGGUGACCACGAGUCACCGAGGUGCCGAAGGGAAACCGUGAAACGUGCCGCCUGGGAAGUACGGUCGCAAGGCUGAAACUUAAAGGAAUUGGCGGGGGAGCACCACAACGGGUGGAGUCUGCGGUUUAAUUGGACUCAACGCCGGGAAGCUUACCGGAUAAGACAGCGGAAUGAUUGCCGGGCUGAAGACCCUGCAUGACCAGCUG
RNAcentral lists this ribosomal RNA (264 nucleotides) under uncultured archaeon. RNAcentral describes it as "partial 16S ribosomal RNA". It matches the Rfam family "Archaeal small subunit ribosomal RNA", at positions 718 to 982 of the family's 1478-position model. The record is from RNAcentral.